RNAcentral lists this ribosomal RNA (250 nucleotides) under uncultured bacterium. RNAcentral describes it as "partial 16S ribosomal RNA". It matches the Rfam family "Bacterial small subunit ribosomal RNA", at positions 779 to 1026 of the family's 1533-position model. The record is from RNAcentral.
UAGAUACCCUGGUAGUCCACGCCGUAAACGAUGAGUGCUAAGUGUUAGGGGGUUUCCGCCCCUUAGUGCUGCAGCUAACGCAUUAAGCACUCCGCCUGGGGAGUACGACCGCAAGGUUGAAGCUCAAAGGAAUUGACAGGGACCCGCACAAGCGGUGGAGCAUGUGGUUUAAUUCGAAGCAACGCGAAGAACCUUACCAAAUCUUGACAUCCUCUGAUCCCUCUAGAGAUAGAGUUUUCCCCUUCGGGGG